AUGCAUCCUGCAUGUUAUUUGAUCUCUCAACAUUUACCUGAUUGUCAUAGUUUUUAAAAUCCAAGUCUUACAAGCUUGUAAUGAACUCCUGUCCCAACUAACGAGGACACUCAAAGUAAUACGACUUGCCCAUGAUAACAAUAAAGUCAUAUAUAAUAUGUUUUGACCACAGCAGAAAAUUCCAACAGAUCAAAUGAGAACUUGUUCUUGACUGUCUUCGCUGUGGGAAUUGUUUUCUGUUCGUUCCAAGAAUGACUGACAGCAAAUGGCUUCCCUGUCCUCAGAUAAGGCCGUGUUAGCCGUCGCUGUCGGGGCUCAAACCCUUUGGAACAGCUCAUCUGAGGAACUUAGGAAAUUCUCUGCCUUCUUUUAAGUCCCCUCUGAAAACCCACUUCUUCCAUGUGGCUUUUUCCUGAUCAUGUUAUCUGUUCCUUAUAGCUCACUACAGGUGGAAUUGCGCAACAAGCAAGCCCACUAUAACUGCUAUCAGAGCGGCUUCACGUGUCUCAGUGGUGAUUGUGGAAGCCUGAACCGAACCCAAAGCGGAACUAUCGGCAGCUAUUCCUACGGUUAUUACUGGUGCCAGAAUGAGGUGAUGAUGACCCGACAUCUCUCCAGCAACCUACCCUUUGAGCUUCGGUAUCCCGUCCCCAAUUAUUAUUACCAUGGCCAGGGAUACUGGAUACCAAACAUCGCGAACUCCUGAGCUGUUUGGAUGAUGAUGACACACGUGAACCUGGGAAACCGAUCUGAUACUGGGGAACCCAACAGAUCUCCCAUUGCCACCAUGCUGCCUUUUCUCAGAAUACCUCGAAACUGUCCAAGGACAUAUCGUCUGACAGUUUUUGAUCCUGACGGUGACCGGGUCAGAUGCCGGUAUGGAUUAUACGAUGAAUACGAAUGCAGCAUGUGCUCCCUACCUCAGGGUUUCUCUCUUGAUCCGAAUUCCUGCACGCUGACAUACUCUCCUGUUGGACAACAAGGAUUACGUGGAUUUGAGAUUGUAGUGGAGGAUUUCCCCAGACAGCCCAUUACUCUGUCCUACUCUGAUGGAUCCUACACCACAAAAAAUCCCUUUUCUGAAGGAAGACGGAAACGUGAGAUCAUAAGCAAU
This is a long non-coding RNA of Myripristis murdjan (pinecone soldierfish), 1114 nucleotides long. RefSeq lists it as uncharacterized. The transcript has 5 exons. The record is from RefSeq and is a predicted model, not a curated record. NCBI's taxonomy places the organism in Eukaryota, Metazoa, Chordata, Actinopteri, Holocentriformes, Holocentridae.